RNAcentral lists this ribosomal RNA (522 nucleotides) under Colletotrichum nymphaeae. Its description in RNAcentral is "eukaryotic LSU rRNA". The stretch from base 164 to 317 matches the Rfam family "5.8S ribosomal RNA". Lineage: Eukaryota; Fungi; Ascomycota; Sordariomycetes; Glomerellales; Glomerellaceae. The record is from RNAcentral.
CCCUUUGUGAACAUACCUAACCGUUGCUUCGGCGGGCAGGGGAAGCCUCUCGCGGGCCUCCCCUCCCGGCGCCGGCCCCCACCACGGGGACGGGGCGCCCGCCGGAGGAAACCAAACUCUAUUUACACGACGUCUCUUCUGAGUGGCACAAGCAAAUAAUUAAAACUUUUAACAACGGAUCUCUUGGUUCUGGCAUCGAUGAAGAACGCAGCGAAAUGCGAUAAGUAAUGUGAAUUGCAGAAUUCAGUGAAUCAUCGAAUCUUUGAACGCACAUUGCGCUCGCCAGCAUUCUGGCGAGCAUGCCUGUUCGAGCGUCAUUUCAACCCUCAAGCACCGCUUGGUUUUGGGGCCCCACGGCACACGUGGGCCCUUAAAGGUAGUGGCGGACCCUCCCGGAGCCUCCUUUGCGUAGUAACUAACGUCUCGCACUGGGAUUCGGAGGGACUCUUGCCGUAAAACCCCCAAAUUUUUUACAGGUUGACCUCGGAUCAGGUAGGAAUACCCGCUGAACUUAAGCAUAUC